UAUGUAGUAACAUUUAUGGAC
This is a non-coding RNA of Caenorhabditis elegans, 21 nucleotides long. The record is from Ensembl. NCBI's taxonomy places the organism in Eukaryota, Metazoa, Nematoda, Chromadorea, Rhabditida, Rhabditidae.